Molecule: ribosomal RNA, 434 nt
Filed under: Opisthoplatia orientalis
Lineage: Eukaryota; Metazoa; Arthropoda; Insecta; Blattodea; Blaberidae
Description: partial 16S ribosomal RNA
Source: RNAcentral
CUCUUCUUGAUUAUUUAAGAAGUAUAACCUGCCCAAUGAAUAAUAUUUAAUGGCCGCGGUAUAUUGACCGUGCAAAGGUAGCAUAAUAAUUAGUCUUUUAAUUGAAGGCUGGAAUGAAUGGUUAGACGAGAUAACAACUAUCUUAAUUUUAUUAAAUUGAAUUUAAUCUUUAAGUUAAAAAGCUUGAAUUUUUUUUUGGGACGAGAAGACCCUAUAGAGUUUAUAUAUUAUAAAUUGUUCUAAUGAAUUUGUUAUUAAUUAUUUUAUUUAUAUUAUUGUGUUGGGGUGAUAGAAAGAUAAUAGUAACUCUUAUUAAUUAAUUUUUAUAAAUGUAUAUAGUAUUUGAUCCACAAUUAGUGAUUAUAAGACUAAAUUACCUUAGGGAUAACAGCGUAAUCUUUUUUAAGAGUUCAUAUCGACAAUAAGGGUUGCGA